RNAcentral lists this ribosomal RNA (449 nucleotides) under uncultured bacterium. RNAcentral describes it as "SSU rRNA". It matches the Rfam family "Bacterial small subunit ribosomal RNA", at positions 26 to 518 of the family's 1533-position model. The record is from RNAcentral.
AGAACGAACGCUGGCGGCAGGCCUAACACAUGCAAGUCGAGCGGCCGUAGCGAUACGGCAGCGGCGCACGGGUGAGUAACGCGUGGGAACCUGCCCUUUGGUUUGGAACAACCCUGGGAAACUAGGGCUGAUACCGGAUACGCCCUGAGAGGGGGAAAGAUUUAUCGCCGAAGGAGGGGCCCGCGUCCGAUUAGCUAGUUGGUGGGGUAAAGGCCUACCAAGGCUUCGAUCGGUAGCCGGUCUGAGAGGACGAUCGGCCACACUGGGACUGAGACACGGCCCAGACUCCUACGGGAGGCAGCAGUGGGGAAUAUUGGACAAUGGGCGCAAGCCUGAUCCAGCCAUGCCGCGUGGGUGAUGAAGGCCUUCGGGUUGUAAAGCCCUUUUGGCGGGGACGAUGAUGACGGUACCCGCAGAAUAAGCCCGGCUAACUUCGUGCCAGCAGCCGC